This is a long non-coding RNA of Oncorhynchus tshawytscha (Chinook salmon), 527 nucleotides long. Lineage: Eukaryota; Metazoa; Chordata; Actinopteri; Salmoniformes; Salmonidae. The record is from Ensembl.
GUGGGAGAAAGUGAGAGAUGGAGGGAGAGAGAGGGAGUGGGAGAUAUGGGGAGAGGAGGGAGUGGGAGAGAGGGAGAGAUGGGGAGAGAGAGGGAGUGGGAGAUAGGGAGAGAUGGGGAGAGAGAGGGAAGGGGAGGGAGAGAGAGGGAGAGGGAGAGAGAGGGAGUGGGAGAGAGGGAGAGAUGGGGAGAGAGGGAGGGGGAGAGGGAGUGGGAGAGAGGGAGUGGGAGAGAGAGAGAGAUGGGGAGAGAGAGGGAGUAGGAGAAAAUGAGAGAUGGGGAGAGAGAGGGAGUGGGAGAAAAGGAGAGAUGGGGAGAGAGAGGGAGUGGGAGAAAAUGAGAGAUGGGGAGAGAGAGGGAGUGGGAGAAAGUGAGAGAUGGGGAGAGAGAGGGAGGGGAGAAAGGAAGAAGAUGACAAAGGAAAGAGAUGGAUGUUUUCCACUUUCAGACUUAACACCCUUCUGAUUGUUGCUUUCCUAAUCUCAUGGAGUGAAGAAGUGUGUGUGUGUGUGUGUGUGUGUGUGUGUG